AUUGAACGCUGGCGGCAGGCCUAACACAUGCAAGUCGAACGGUAACAGGGAUCAGCUUGCUGAUUCGCUGACGAGUGGCGGACGGGUGAGUAAUGUCUGGGAAACUGCCUGAUGGAGGGGGAUAACUACUGGAAACGGUAGCUAAUACCGCAUAACGUCGCAAGACCAAAGAGGGGGACCUUCGGGCCUCUUGCCAUCGGAUGUGCCCAGAUGGGAUUAGCUAGUAGGUGUGGUAACGGCUCACCUAGGCGACGAUCCCUAGCUGGUCUGAGAGGAUGACCAGCCACACUGGAACUGAGACACGGUCCAGACUCCUACGGGAGGCAGCAGUGGGGAAUAUUGCACAAUGGGCGCAAGCCUGGUGCAGCCAUGCCGCGUGUAUGAAGAAGGCCUUCGGGUUGUAAAGUACUUUCAGCGGGGAGGAAGGGAGUAAAGUUAAUACCUUUGCUCAUUGACGUUACCCGCAGAAGAAGCACCGGCUAACUCCGUG
Molecule: ribosomal RNA, 490 nt
Filed under: uncultured bacterium
Lineage: Bacteria
Description: partial 16S ribosomal RNA
Rfam family: Bacterial small subunit ribosomal RNA
Source: RNAcentral